RNAcentral lists this long non-coding RNA (459 nucleotides) under Homo sapiens (human). Its description in RNAcentral is "non-protein coding lnc-CYP2U1-1:1". The record is from RNAcentral. Lineage: Eukaryota; Metazoa; Chordata; Mammalia; Primates; Hominidae.
UUUCAAAUGCCAUACAGGUUUAUUUUCUUACUGUGUGCCAUUUGGGACCAACAGAGCAACGGCUAGUUUUACCAAGAGAUUAUAUUUGAAUGAUACCUGAUUUGGUAUUUCAUUUAAAGUUCUGGAAAUGGGCUGGGCGCAGUGGCCCAUGCCUAUAAUCCCAGCACUUUGGGAGGCUGAGUCCAUAAGUGAAUGGUUAGGAACCCUAACCUUUACAGAGGGAAUGUUUUAUAGUUUCUAUUGGCAAUAACAGUGUAAAAUUGCUGAGAAUCAAAAUAUUGCUAGCCACAAUGCCAUUCCUUCUGACCCCCUUACCCUACACAUACCCCUGGAGAAAUAAUAUAAAUUUAAAACCUGAAAUUACUCCUGCUUUCCCAUUUCCCCCCUUAUUUUCAUAGACCACCACCUUUUCUUUUGAUCCCUACUAUCUUUCUUUCCAGUGGGAAAGUGGCUCCUUUA